RNAcentral lists this ribosomal RNA (354 nucleotides) under uncultured bacterium. RNAcentral's name for it is "partial 16S ribosomal RNA". It matches the Rfam family "Bacterial small subunit ribosomal RNA", at positions 338 to 709 of the family's 1533-position model. The record is from RNAcentral.
CCUACGGGUGGCAGCAGUAGGGAAUAUUCCUCAAUGGGGGAAACCCUGAAGCAGCAACGCCGCGUGGAUGAUGAAGGUUUUCGGAUUGUAAAGUCCUGUUGUUAGAGAAGAACAUAACGGUAACUAACGAAUAAGCACCUGCUAACUCCGUGCCAGCAGCCGCGGUCAUACGGAGGGUGCAAGCGUUAUUCGGAAUCACUGGGCGUAACGUGCGCGUAGGCGGGAUUGCAAGUCUUAUGUGAAAUCCUAUGGCUUAACCAUGGAACUGCAUUGGAAACUGUAAUUCUAGAGUAUAGGAGAGGUAAGUGGAAUUCCAUGUGUAGGGGUAAAAUGCGUAGAGAUCAAGAGGAAUAC